This is a non-coding RNA of Gossypium hirsutum (cotton), 124 nucleotides long. NCBI's taxonomy places the organism in Eukaryota, Viridiplantae, Streptophyta, Magnoliopsida, Malvales, Malvaceae. The record is from Rfam.
AAUAGGAGAAUAACAAAUCAUAUUUUUUCUCUUGAUUUUUAGAUUUUUUCUCCUGAAAAGAAUUCAAAUCCAGCUAAAAAUAUUAAAAAUUAAGAGCAAAAAUCUAAUUUGUUAUUAUCCUAUU